AUAACGACUCUCGGCAACGGAUAUCUCGGCUCUCGCAUCGAUGAAGAACGUAGCGAAAUGCGAUACUUGGUGUGAAUUGCAGAAUCCCGUGAACCAUCGAGUCUUUGAACGCAAGUUGCGCCCUAAGCCUUUAGGCCGAGGGCACGUCUGCCUGGGUGUCACG
This 163-nucleotide ribosomal RNA is filed under the name Deinbollia borbonica. Its description in RNAcentral is "5.8S ribosomal RNA". It matches the Rfam family "5.8S ribosomal RNA". Rfam says of the family: 5.8S ribosomal RNA (5.8S rRNA) is a component of the large subunit of the eukaryotic ribosome. It is transcribed by RNA polymerase I as part of the 45S precursor that also contains 18S and 28S rRNA. Lineage: Eukaryota; Viridiplantae; Streptophyta; Magnoliopsida; Sapindales; Sapindaceae. RNAcentral also lists the same sequence under 7 other names. The record is from RNAcentral.